UACGUAGGGUGCAAGCGUUGUCCGGAUUUAUUGGGCGUAAAGAGCUCGUAGGCGGUCUGUCGCGUCGGAUGUGAAAACCCAGGGCUCAACCCUGGGCCUGCAUUCGAUACGGGCAGACUAGAGUAUGGCAGGGGAGACUGGAAUUCCUGGUGUAGCGGUGAAAUGCGCAGAUAUCAGGAGGAACACCGGUGGCGAAGGCGGGUCUCUGGGCCAAUACUGACGCUGAGGAGCGAAAGCGUGGGGAGCGAACAGG
RNAcentral lists this ribosomal RNA (253 nucleotides) under uncultured bacterium. Its description in RNAcentral is "partial 16S ribosomal RNA". It matches the Rfam family "Bacterial small subunit ribosomal RNA", at positions 524 to 776 of the family's 1533-position model. The record is from RNAcentral.